Caenorhabditis elegans is the source of this 162-nucleotide non-coding RNA. The record is from Ensembl. Lineage: Eukaryota; Metazoa; Nematoda; Chromadorea; Rhabditida; Rhabditidae.
UUUUCAUUUUGCUCUCCUUGCGGAAGUCGGGCCCCCGAGACGAUUGCCCUUCAAACCCCCUGUACAAUGUUUGCCGCCCGCCUGUUGUGCUCUCGACACGGUUUAACGCGAGCUUUCCGACCACGCUUGACAACUUUUUGGCGGCAAACGGAUUGGAUGCGC